This 433-nucleotide ribosomal RNA is filed under the name uncultured bacterium. RNAcentral describes it as "partial 16S ribosomal RNA". It matches the Rfam family "Bacterial small subunit ribosomal RNA", at positions 29 to 507 of the family's 1533-position model. The record is from RNAcentral.
AACGAACGCUGGCGGCAUGCCUAACACAUGCAAGUCGAACGAGCCCUUCGGGUCUAGUGGCGCACGGGUGCGUAACGCGUGGGAACCUGCCCUUAGGUUCGGAAUAACUCCCCGAAAGGGGUGCUAAUACCGGAUAAUGUCUUCGGACCAAAGAUUUAUCGCCUUUGGAUGGGCCCGCGUUGGAUUAGCUAGUUGGUAGGGUAAAAGCCUACCAAGGCGACGAUCCAUAGCUGGUCUGAGAGGAUGAUCAGCCACACUGGGACUGAGACACGGCCCAGACUCCUACGGGAGGCAGCAGUGGGGAAUAUUAGACAAUGGGCGAAAGCCUGAUCCAGCCAUGCCGCGUGAGUGAUGAAGGCCUUAGGGUUGUAAAGCUCUUUUAGCCGGGAUGAUAAUGACAGUACCGGGAGAAUAAGCUCCGGCUAACUCCGUG